RNAcentral lists this ribosomal RNA (468 nucleotides) under uncultured bacterium. RNAcentral describes it as "partial 16S ribosomal RNA". It matches the Rfam family "Bacterial small subunit ribosomal RNA", at positions 28 to 507 of the family's 1533-position model. The record is from RNAcentral.
GACGAACGCUGGCGGCGUGCUUAACACAUGCAAGUCGAACGGAAAGGCCCUGCUUUUGUGGGGUGCUCGUUUGGCGAACGGGUGAGUAACACGUGAGUAACCUGCCCUUGACUUUGGGAUAACUUCAGGAAACUGGGGCUAAUACCGGAUAGGAGCUCCUGCUGCAUGGUGGGGGUUGGAAAGUUUCGGCGGUUGGGGAUGGACUCGCGGCUUAUCAGCUUGUUGGUGGGGUAGUGACUUACCAAGGCUUUGACGGGUAGCCGGCCUGAGAGGGUGACCGGCCACAUUGGGACUGAGAUACGGCCCAGACGCCUACGGGAGGCAGCAGGGGGGAAUAUUGCACAAUGGGCGGAAGCCUGAUGCAGCAACGCCGCGUGCGGGAUGACGGCCUUCGGGUUGUAAACCGCUUUCGCCUGUGACGAAGCGUGAGUGACGGUAAUGGGUAAAGAAGCACCGGCUAACUACGUG